This is a long non-coding RNA of Ceratitis capitata (Mediterranean fruit fly), 3196 nucleotides long. RefSeq lists it as uncharacterized. The record is from RefSeq and is a predicted model, not a curated record. NCBI's taxonomy places the organism in Eukaryota, Metazoa, Arthropoda, Insecta, Diptera, Tephritidae. The transcript is spliced from 3 exons.
UGCAAAAAAAAAAAUGCUCAGCCAUUAAAUUACACUAACAAUAAAAAUUUGAUGAAUAUACAAUCAGAUUAACAUGGGCUUGUCAAUUCAAGUGGCCAUAAAACCGUCAACAGCGCUGCUGACGUUGGCACUUAAAGGAAAUAAAAGAAAUUAAAAAGCUGCAAAAAUAGUAAAAUGACAAAAAAGCCACCGAACUUUGAGCAACUCAAUAUACAUACAUACAUAUGUAUGUAUGUUAUUGGCAAAUUUUAACCAGAAAAAAGACUACAGAAUAGCAAAAUUUAUAUAUUACUUACAUAUGCACAUAAUAUGUGUGUAUUUGUAUGCUAUUGGAAAUACGAACUCAUUAAUUUUUGCAGAAAAAAAUGUAAUUUUUUCUUUUAAUUUUUACUUCUUUUUACUUUUUUUCAUAAUUUUUUUUUUAUUUAUUUAUGUCCUAAAAAGUUUGCUUCAUACCAAGAACUGUCAAUUGGCUCUUGUCAAAAGGUUGAUAAAAAAUUUGAGAAGCUGUACAUAUACAGCUCUUUUUUGGUAGCGUGUUUAGUUACUGUUGUUGCCUGCUGUCAGUUUUCGUUGAUUGUCGUCCUUGACUGAUGCUGAGAGUGUGAAACUUGAGCCCUCAAGCCCGUGAUGUCGACGUUGCGCAGUUGGUUGUGGUGCUGUCAAUUUUGUGCGACUGAAAUACAAAACUAACCACUUUUGCCUGCGGUCCAGUCUCGGCGAUCGCAAGCGAUUAGAGGCAAUUGACAAAUGGAAUUUGUGGCAGCAAGCGCCGGCGAACUAGCCACUGUGGAAGCCAGCAUGAAAGCAGCUGCUAUUGAAGCAGUGAUCCGCUCAUUAUUGCUUGCCACUGUUGCUUGUAGCUGGAGCUUGUCAAUCACAUAGCAGGAAUUGACACAAAGCGACACGAGUGAUUGGCUCCAACUUUUGGAACGGGUAUGUGGCAAGGAAAAUGGAAUGAUAUAUUUGGUAUGUUGCAAAGAAACAGUAAAUUUUUACGUGCGCAUGCAUGUGUGUGUUUAAAUGUUUUACAGUUCGAUUCGCUGUCAAUGCAAGCCAACGACCACUUCCUGUCUUCAGUGUGGUCAGCGCGCGCUCAGCGGAUGUGGUGAACGGGCUAACCAGUUUGCGUUUAAUUGUUGAGAGAAAUGUUAAGAAAAAAAACCAUAAAAGUUCUUGAGGCAGAUUUUGUAUUGAAAAGUUCAAAAGUAUUAUUUUUAGAAGAAUAUUGACUUGAAAAAAAUUAAUUAUAAAUUUUCACAGCCUACAAAUAAUGCACUGCGCAAUAUAAUUUAUUAAUUAAACAAAUUAGUCUUUAUUUGCCGGAAAUUUGCUUAAUUAGCAUUGAUUGAAAUUUUAAUCUGUCUUGUUUUUUCUCAUUUUUGAACCUUUUUGCUGCAAAAUUUUUACUUAAAAAAAAAAAAUUAUUUUUAAUUAGCAACCAACAAUUUGGCUAUCAGCAAGUCCAUUUCUGUUUAACUUUUUUAAUUGUCCAUAAUCUUUGCUUGAUUAUACAAAGUUGCCGAUAGCAAAAAAGCUGAAGUAUUUCAAAAAAAAAAGAAGAAAAAAAAAACAAAAAAAAAAGAAGAAAAAAAAUGGUUUGAAAAGCAGAAAAACAAUAAGGCAAAGAAACAUUUCCAUACAAAAGAAAUAUACACAGACAUACUUUUGUAUGUAUAUAUGUAUAUAUGUUUGGCUAUGGCAGCUUAAAUGGUUUACAUAUAACUGAAAUACACUAAUAAUCAUAUGAAUGAUUGUCUUCUUGUUGAGGCAAAUUGGUAUUAAAGUGAAAAAUUGUUAAACAAAGCAACACUUAAAUGCUUAUACACGUAUGCACGAUUGUGAAGCGGCUAAUGAUAACGGUAGUGGCCAUAGAAAACUAUAAUAAAAAAGUAAAAUUGAAAGACAAACUGAGCUCAGGCUCAAACUUCAGAGAAAGCUCUACUUUUACACCACUCACCACAAAAAGAUCUCUCUCUCUUCAAAUAUUCGAAAAUAAUGUCUAAUUUAUUAGAAGCGCGAAGCAUUUUUCUAACAAAGUCAGCAACAAUAAAUGGCGGCAAACUAAUUAAUCAUUAUUUGUGCUCAGAGAUGAAUAGCUAAACGACCACAAAGCAAUCAGUCAAAUAAUUCAAAUAAUAAAAAAAAAUAAUAGAAGGAAUAUAUAUGCAUACAUAAAAGGAGAAAUAUAUAUGUAUAUAUACCGCAGCGUGUUUUUUAUACACACUUAAAAGAAGUUAACUUGAUAAGUAUCGAUUCGGCAAUAUUGAGCUCAGUGAGUGAAAUAAAAAUCUUCCGAUUUUUUAAAUAGUUUUUUUUUUUUUAAUACUUGCUCUUUAUUUUUCUUAUUUAUUUACAAUUUAUAUUUAUAUUUGAAUACUUUUUCUUGCUGUUUCAAUUGCACCCGAAGUAAUGUUUUUCAAAAUGUUCCAAAACCAUCACAUCAUUUUUGGCACUUUCCCUCCAGCUUGAGCAUACCAUACAGCAAGGCACUCUCCCAUAGAUACAGACCUCUAAUAGUCUCAUUCCGCACGCCAAGCACCUCUGGUUUGCAAACUGGUUUCAACAAUGAUUCAUCAAGCAUCCGUCACAUGGUAGAAUAACAACAACAACAACAACAACAACAAUCAAAUAACAGGCAGUAAACAGGCUAACAACAGGUAGCUGACAACAGUAAAGCAAUGAAAAAAAAAAAACAGAAACAAUUGUGAUACAAAACAAAGAGUCUGAAAUAGAUGAAAGAAAAAAGUAACAUUACAGUCACAAUCCCAAGCGAACUCUUUGUGUUGGUCAGUUAGCUUCGCUUUGCUUUGCAUUGCUUCGUUUCACAUUCGACUGACACGACCACCACACAAUUACAUCCGGUAAUUUAAUGUAAUUUUAGAUUUUUCUCAUUUAAAUUGCAUGCAAUGGCAAAAAAUAAAAAUGCAUACAUAAAUAUAUAUGAAAGAAAACCAUACACACAUACGGCUAUGUAUCUACAUGUAUAACAGUACAAGCAAAAAAUAGUAAAUAAACUGGCCAAAGUGAUAGUAAAAUUACUAAAUCGUUAUAAAAACUAUGGCUGCUUGUAGCAAAUAAAAUUAAUUUUUUAUUGUUAAGUUCAAACGCAAAGCAAUUUCAGAACCACCACCAUUAGUAAUCGUACUCGGCUGAUCAGUCAAUCAUAACAAAUUAACGCUCAAUUCUUUAAUUA